AGAGUUUGAUCCUGGCUCAGGACGAACGCUGGCGGCGUGCCUAACACAUGCAAGUCGAACGGAGAUAUGAUUUCGGUUGUAUCUUAGUGGCGAACGGGUGAGUAACGCGUGAGCAACCUGACUCUUAGAGGGGGAUAACACUCGGAAACGAGUGCUAAUACCGCAUAAGACCACGACAUGGCAUCAUGACGAGGUCAAAGGAGCAAUCCGCUGAGAGAGGGGCUCGCGUCCCAUUAGAUAGAUGGCGGGGUAACGGCCCACCAUGUCAACGAUGGGUAGCCGAGCUGAGAGGCCGAUCCGCCACACUGGAACUGAAACACGGACCAGACUCCUACGGGAGGCAGCAGUGGGGAAUAUUGCACAAUGGGCGAAAGCCUGAUGCAGCAACGCCGCGUGAGCGAUGAAGGCCUUUGGGUCGUAAAGCUCUGUCCUUGGGGAAGAAAAAAAUGACGGUACCCUUGGAGGAAGCCCCGGCUAACUACGUGCCAGCAGCCGCGGUAAUACGUAGGGGGCGAGCGUUGUCCGGAAUUACUGGGCGUAAAGGGUGCGUAGGCGGUUUAUUAAGUUGGAUGUGAAAUACCCGGGCUUAACUUGGGAGGUGCAUCCAAAACUGAUAGACUUGAGUGCAGGAGAGGGCAAUGGAAUUCCAUGUGUAGCGGUAAAAUGCGUAGAUAUAUGGAGGAACACCAGUGGCGAAGGCGGUUGCCUGGCCUGUAACUGACGCUGAGGCACGAAAGCGUGGGGAGCAAACAGGAUUAGAUACCCUGGUAGUCCACGCUGUAAACGAUGAGUGCUAGGUGUAGGGGGUAUCGACUCCCUCUGUGCCGCAGUUAACGCAUUAAGUAAUCCACCUGGGGAGUACGUUCGCAAGAAUGAAACUCAAAGGAAUUGACGGGGGCCCGCACAAGCGGAGGAGCAUGUGGUUUAAUUCGAUGAUACGCGAGGAACCUUACCUGGGCUCGAACGUAUAGGGAAUUAUGCCGAAAGGUAUAAGCCAGCAAUGGCCGUAUACGAGGUGCUGCAUGGUUGUCGUCAGCUCGUGCCGUGAGGUGUUAGGUUAAGUCCUGCAACGAGCGCAACCCUUACCUUUAGUUGCCAGCAUGUAAUGAUGGGGACUCUAAAGGAACUGCCUACGCAAGUAGUGAGGAAGGUGGGGAUGACGUCAAAUCAGCACGGCCCUUAUGUCCAGGGCGACACACGUGCUACAAUGGCAUAAACAAAGGGCAGCAACAUCGCGAGGUGAAGCGAAUCCCAAAAUUAUGUCUCAGUCCGGAUUGGAGUCUGCAACUCGACUCCAUGAAGUU
This 1304-nucleotide ribosomal RNA is filed under the name uncultured bacterium. RNAcentral's name for it is "partial 16S ribosomal RNA". It matches the Rfam family "Bacterial small subunit ribosomal RNA", at positions 8 to 1327 of the family's 1533-position model. The record is from RNAcentral.